Molecule: ribosomal RNA, 253 nt
Filed under: uncultured bacterium
Lineage: Bacteria
Description: partial 16S ribosomal RNA
Rfam family: Bacterial small subunit ribosomal RNA
Source: RNAcentral
UACGGAGGGUGCAAGCGUUAUCCGGAUUCACUGGGUUUAAAGGGUGCGUAGGUGGGUUGGUAAGUCAGUGGUGAAAUCUCCAGGCUUAACUUGGAAACUGCCAUUGAUACUAUCAAUCUUGAAUACCGUGGAGGUCAGCGGAAUAUGUCAUGUAGCGGUGAAAUGCUUAGAUAUGACAUAGAACACCAAUUGCGAAGGCGGCUCACUACACAAUCAUUGACUCUGAGGCACGAAAGCGUGGGGAUCAAACAGG